CCUACGGGCGACAGCAGUAGGGAAUAUUGCUCAAUGGGCGAAACCCUGAACCAGCAACGCCGCGUGGAGGAUGACGGUUUUCGGAUUUUAAACUCCUUUUUUUAGAGGAGAUAAUGACGGUAUCUAACGAAUAAGCACCGGCUAACUCCGUGCCAGCAGCCGCGGUAAUACGGCGGGUGCAAGCGGUACUCGGAAUCACUGGGCGUAAAGGGCGCGUAGGCGGGUUAGCAAGUCAGAUGUGAAAUCCUAUGGCUUAACCAUAGAACUGCAUUUGAAACUGUUAUUCUAGAGUAUGGGAGAGGUAGGUGGAAUUCUUGGUGUAGGGGUAAAAUCCAUAGAGAUCAAGAGGAAUACUCAUUGCGAAGGCGACCUGCUAGAACAUAACUGACGCUGAUGCGCGAAAGCGUGGGGAGCAAACAGGAUUAGAUACCCCAGUAGUC
This 440-nucleotide ribosomal RNA is filed under the name uncultured bacterium. Its description in RNAcentral is "partial 16S ribosomal RNA". It matches the Rfam family "Bacterial small subunit ribosomal RNA", at positions 338 to 795 of the family's 1533-position model. The record is from RNAcentral.